ACAAAGUUUAUUCCAUCUAAUAUGUUAAUUUUCACUUUAUUGCCAAAAGGGCGUCAAAUGGGUAUUCUUGAUAAAAUGCUCUAGGUACAUAAUUGUCUGAGCCAAAGAUGGCUAAUAAUCAGCAAAUGUGGAAGGCAAUUCUAAACAGCAAAGGCAAGAUGGUUAAUGCUUUAAUUCACUUGAAGCUAAUCAACAGCUGUCCUGGGCACGAAUUCUCUUGACUUUUCUUCUUUUUGAGAAAAAUGCUUUUCUAAGCCCAGCCAAAGAGCAAAGGGAAAGAACCACAUUACCUGUCAACACUAAGAGCGCAGAGGUUGAGGACGGUGAUCCCCACCGAGGACUUCUGCAAAAAGGGGAACAGCUUGCAAAGAAAUACGCCAAAGUCAUUGUGAUCAAAAGGCCAGCGCCCAGCCAGCAGCUGAAAGAAGGAGACACAGUGAUCACAGAAGAACACCACAGAAAGAAUCGUGGAGACACAGAAGGCAAUCUGCUGGGCCAGGAUUUUACAUGUCUUUGUUCUAACUCAGGGAAUUUUUCUAUAGUUGAAAUAUAGUUAAAGCCCCUGAUCCCCACCUGAAAAUGAAAGCUCUUCUAAACAGCAGAGAUUAAUAUAGGAAUUUUGCAUUUGUGUGGUUGAUUUGGAUUGUAUCAAAAUCAACAUCAUAGAAUUGACAAGCUGCAUGUUUUAACCCAUUAAAAACAGAUUUAGGGAAGAACUUGUACCAUAUGAUACACUGAUAUGCACCCUGUUUGUAGAAUGGAUAGAGCCAGAUGGAGGAUGUACAUUCACCACUAUAUUUAGUGCAAUGCAAGAUCUCAUUGGUUGGGACCUCUUAAGUAUGGGGAACAUAUCUGUUUACAUUAGUUUUCUAGAACAUACCUGACAACCAGAAAGUAAACAAAAAUGUAAGGAGCCAAAAAGUUGUGAAAUUUAUGCCCUAAAGCUCAUGUGUGUUAGUCCUCAGCAAACUGCCUGAGUCUCCACCACAGGGGGACUGAUUCUCACUCUACACCCAGUGGUGUAAAGCUUAGCUCUUAUUGUGCUCUGGCCCAUUGCACAUCCAGAGCUGUUCAUUAAUAGAGACUCUCCAGAGGCAUAGUUCUCAGUGUUGCCUGUAUAUUAGAAUGAUUUUGGGAGCUCUUCCAUAUCCCAGUGCCUUGGCCAUCACCCUAGGCCAGUGCUUAUCAACCAGGGGACAAUUUUGCCAUCCCCCUUCCCCCCACCACCACAGGGAACACUUGGCAAUGUCUGAGAUAUUUUUAGUUAUUACAGCUGGGGGUGGGUGUGCUACUCGCAUCUAGGGGUAGAGGCUUGGGAUGCUGCUAAACAUUUUGCAAUGUACAGGACAGACAACCCCAACAAAUAAUCAUCCCCCCACCCAAAUAUCACUGGUGCUGAGGUUAAAAAACUGUGUCCUAGACCAACAAAAUUAGAAUCUUUGGAGUUGGGACAUAAGCAUUAGUAGUCUUUAAGGGUCCCAGGGGAUUCCCAAGGACAGCCAAGGUUGUGAAUAGUUGCUGUGGAGCAGCAGCUCCCAAGACUUAGCAGCUGCAGAAUCACCUGGAGGGCUCAUUGAAACACAGAUGGCUGGGCCCCAUCCCCAGAGUUCCUGAUUCAGUAGGUCUGGGGCAGGGCCUGAGAAUUUGCAUUUCUAGCAAGUUCUCAGGUGAUGCUGAUGCUGCUGGCUCACCAACCAUACUUUGAGGAUCACUGCUCUAGAGGUGCCAUGGUCAGCAAAAAUGACAGCUGACAGUCAAAUGGAACAGGAGGAGCAGAAAAAGGUAUAAAAUAUAGUCACAAGAAAUAAAAAAUCUUGGGCUGGGUGCAGUGGCUCACACCUGUAAUCCCUGCACUUUGGGAGGGUGAGGUGGAUUGAUCACUUGAGGCCAGGAGUUCGAGACCAGCCUGGCCAACGUGGUGAAACCCUGUCUCUACUAAAAAGACAAGAAUUAGCCAGGUGUGGUGGCACGCGCCUAUAAUCCCAGCUACUUGGGAG
This 1997-nucleotide long non-coding RNA is filed under the name Homo sapiens (human). RNAcentral's name for it is "HSALNT0079096". The record is from RNAcentral. Lineage: Eukaryota; Metazoa; Chordata; Mammalia; Primates; Hominidae.